RNAcentral lists this ribosomal RNA (292 nucleotides) under uncultured bacterium. RNAcentral describes it as "partial 16S ribosomal RNA". It matches the Rfam family "Bacterial small subunit ribosomal RNA", at positions 505 to 796 of the family's 1533-position model. The record is from RNAcentral.
GUGCCAGCAGCCGCGGUAAUACGAAGGGGGCUAGCGUUGUUCGGAAUUACUGGGCGUAAAGCGCGCGCAGGCGGUCCUCCAAGUCAGUGGUGAAAGCCCGGAGCUCAACUCCGGAAUUGCCAUUGAAACUGUUGGACUUGAGUACGAGAGAGGUGAGUGGAAUUCCCAGUGUAGAGGUGAAAUUCGUAGAUAUUGGGAAGAACACCGGUGGCGAAGGCGGCUCACUGGCUCGUAACUGACGCUCAAGCGCGACAGCGUGGGGAUCAAACAGGAUUAGAUACCCUGGUAGUCC